AUACGGAGGGAGCGAGCGUUAAUCGGAAUUACUGGGCGUAAAGCGCGCGUAGGCGGCUUUGUAAGUCGGAUGUGAAAGCCCAGGGCUCAACCCUGGAAUUGCAUUCGAUACUGCAGAACUAGAGUAUGCUAGAGGGAAGUGGAAUUUCCGGUGUAGCGGUGAAAUGCGUAGAUAUCGGAAGGAACACCAGUGGCGAAGGCGACUUCCUGGGCCAAUACUGACGCUGAGGUGCGAAAGCGUGGGGAGCAAACAGAAUUAGAAACCCCGGUAGUCC
RNAcentral lists this ribosomal RNA (274 nucleotides) under uncultured bacterium. RNAcentral describes it as "partial 16S ribosomal RNA". It matches the Rfam family "Bacterial small subunit ribosomal RNA", at positions 523 to 796 of the family's 1533-position model. The record is from RNAcentral.